GCCGGCGGAUGCUUACACAUGCAGUCGAUUCAAGUUACCUUCGGGUAAUGAGGAUGGCGGACGGGUGAGUAACGCGUAAGGAACUUGCCUCUUGGACUGGGACAACUGUUGGAAACGACAGCUAAUACCGGAUAUUAUGAGAUUCUCGCAUGAGAAACUUAUGAAAGCUAUAUGCGCCAAGAGAGAGCCUUGCGUUCCAUUAGCUAGUUGGUGGGGUAACGGCCCACCAAGGCGACGAUGGAUAGCCGGCCUGAGAGGGUGAACGGCCACAAGGGGACUGAGACACGGCCCUUACUCCUACGGGAGGCAGCAGUGGGGAAUAUUGGACAAUGGGCCACAAGCCUGAUCCAGCAAUUCUGUGUGCACGAUGAAGGUCUUCGGAUUGUAAAGUGCUUUCAGUUGGGAAGAAGAAAGUGACGGUACCAACAGAAGAAGCGACGGCUAAAUACGUGCCAGCAGCCGCGGUAAUACGUAUGUCGCAAGCGUUAUCCGGAUUUAUUGGGCGUAAAGCGCGUCUAGGCGGAAAAAUAAGUCUGAUGUUAAAAUGCGGGGCUCAACUCCGUAUUGCGUUGGAAACUGUUUUUCUAGAGUACUGGAGAGGUGGGCGGAACUACAAGUGUAGAGGUGAAAUUCGUAGAUAUUUGUAGGAAUGCCGAUGGAGAAGUCAGCUCACUGGACAGAUACUGACGCUAAAGCGCGAAAGCGUGGGGAGCAAACAGGAUUAGAUACCCUGGUAGUCCACGCCGUAAACGAUGAUCACUAGGUGUUGGGGGUCGAACCUCAGCGCCCAAGCUAACGCGAUAAGUGAUCCGCCUGGGGAGUACGCACGCAAGUGUGAAACUCAAAGGAAUUGACGGGGACCCGCACAAGCGGUGGAGCAUGUGGUUUAAUUCGACGCAACGCGAGAAACCUUACCAGCGUUUGACAUCCUAAGAAGUUUCCAGAGAUGGAUUCGUGCCGGCUUGCCGGAACUUGAUGACAGGUGGUGCAUGGCUGUCUUCAGCUCGUGUC
RNAcentral lists this ribosomal RNA (1011 nucleotides) under uncultured bacterium. Its description in RNAcentral is "bacterial SSU rRNA". It matches the Rfam family "Bacterial small subunit ribosomal RNA", at positions 35 to 1066 of the family's 1533-position model. The record is from RNAcentral.